CCUACGGGAGGCAGCAGUGAGGAAUAUUGGUCAAUGGACGAGAGUCUGAACCAGCCAAGUAGCGUGAAGGAUGACUGCCCUAUGGGUUGUAAACUUCUUUUAUAAAGGAAUAAAACGCGGCACGUGUGCCUUUUUGCAUGUACUUUAUGAAUAAGGAUCGGCUAACUCCGUGCCAGCAGCCGCGGUAAUACGGAGGAUCCGAGCGUUAUCCGGAUUUAUUGGGUUUAAAGGGAGCGUAGAUGGGUUGUUAAGUCAGUUGUGAAAGUUUGCGGCUCAACCGUAAAAUUGCAAUUGAUACUGGCAGUCGUGAGUACAGUUGAGGUAAGCGGAAUUCGUGGUGUAGCGGUGAAAUGCUUAGAUAUCACGAAGAACCCCGAUUGCGAAGGCAGCUUACUAAACUGUGACUGACAUUGAUGCUCGAAAGUGUGGGUAUCAAACAGGAUUAGAUACCCGGGUAGUC
This 460-nucleotide ribosomal RNA is filed under the name uncultured bacterium. Its description in RNAcentral is "partial 16S ribosomal RNA". It matches the Rfam family "Bacterial small subunit ribosomal RNA", at positions 338 to 795 of the family's 1533-position model. The record is from RNAcentral.